GCCUGCAUGAAGUUGGAAUUGCUAGUAAUCGCGGAUCAGCAUGCCGCGGUGAAUACGUUCCCGGGGAUUGUACACACCGCCCGUCACACCAUGAGAGUCGGGAACACCCAAAGUCCGUAGUCUAACCGCAAGGAGGACGCGGCCUAAGGUGGGUUCGAUAAUUGGGUGAAGUCGUAACAAGGUAAC
RNAcentral lists this ribosomal RNA (186 nucleotides) under uncultured bacterium. RNAcentral's name for it is "partial 16S ribosomal RNA". It matches the Rfam family "Bacterial small subunit ribosomal RNA", at positions 1314 to 1500 of the family's 1533-position model. The record is from RNAcentral.